Non-coding RNA from Mycena olivaceomarginata, 73 nucleotides. NCBI's taxonomy places the organism in Eukaryota, Fungi, Basidiomycota, Agaricomycetes, Agaricales, Mycenaceae. The record is from the annotation of a GenBank genome assembly.
GGCACUGUGACUCAGUGGUUAGAGUGCCACUCAUGCAAGGUGGAGGUCCCAGGUUCAAUCCCAGGCAUGGCCA